This 539-nucleotide ribosomal RNA is filed under the name uncultured bacterium. RNAcentral describes it as "bacterial SSU rRNA". It matches the Rfam family "Bacterial small subunit ribosomal RNA", at positions 29 to 562 of the family's 1533-position model. The record is from RNAcentral.
AUGACGCUGGCGGCAGGCCUAACACAUGCAAGUCGAGCGGUAGAGCAGAAGCUUGCUUCUCUUGAGAGCGGCGGACGGGUGAGUAAUGCCUAGGAAUCUGCCUGGUAGUGGGGGAUAACGUUCGGAAACGGACGCUAAUACCGCAUACGUCCUACGGGAGAAAGCAGGGGACCUUCGGACCUUGCGCUAUCAGAUGAGCCUAGGUCGGAUUAGCUAGUUGGUGAGGUAAUGGCUCACCAAGGCGACGAUCCGUAACUGGUCUGAGAGGAUGAUCAGUCACACUGGAACUGAGACACGGUCCAGACUCCUACGGGAGGCAGCAGUGGGGAAUAUUGGACAAUGGGCGAAAGCCUGAUCCAGCCAUGCCGCGUGUGUGAAGAAGGUCUUCGGAUUGUAAAGCACUUUAAGUUGGGAGGAAGGGCAGUUACCUAAUACGUGAUUGUUUUGACGUUACCGACAGAAUGAGCACCGGCUAACUCUGUGCCAGCAGCCGCGGUAAUACAGAGGGUGCAAGCGUUAAUCCGCAAUUACUGGCCCGU